GGGUCAGUAGGUUGGUCGUGCCACCGGUACGUACUGGUCUCACUGAUUCCUCCUUCCUGAAGAACCGUAAUGCCAUUAAUUUGGUGUUGCGGGGAAACAGGACUGUUACUUUGAAAAAAUUAGAGUGUUUAAAGCAAGCUAACGCUUGAAUACAUUAGCAUGGAAUAAUGAAAUAGGACGAUCGAUCCUAUUUUGUUGGUUUCUAGGAUUGACGUAAUUAUUAGUAGGGAUAGUUGGG
This 238-nucleotide ribosomal RNA is filed under the name Glomeromycotina sp. RNAcentral's name for it is "partial small subunit ribosomal RNA". The stretch from base 40 to 238 matches the Rfam family "Eukaryotic small subunit ribosomal RNA", at positions 686 to 886 of the family's 1831-position model. The record is from RNAcentral. Lineage: Eukaryota; Fungi; Glomeromycota.